GGAGAGAACGAGAUGUGAUAGGGAGAGGGGAGGGGGCAGGAGACAGCAAGAGAGCACAAGAGCAAGAAGGCAAGGGAGAGACAAAGCUGCAGGUUGGUCCUUUCACAGCCUCUGUGCAGCUGAACCAGGUACGUCUAUCUAGCGGGUGACACAUGAUGACAUCAUAGGUUACUAGGCAACCCAGAAGCCUAAACACUAACAGUUAUUCCAUUGCUGCAUAGCAACUGUGCAUCAGGCCCCUGCUCCCCUCUCAGGUCCAUUGGUUGUCACACCCCUCUGAUGGUGAUAAGCCUCGGGAGCACCCAUGAGUGCUGAUACUGGUGCUAGCUGUGGGAAAGGCCUGGCUCUUGACAUGCAGAGCACGUUCUGUUACUUCACACCCCAGGUUUUGGGUAAGGUGGUAUGUCAAGUUCUAGGCAUGUGCUGGGGGCAUGCUUCUCCUCUGUGCUGCAUAAACACAGCAAGAACUUGCCUUUGCCACAUUCUGUCUAACAACCCCUCCCCCUGUGGCAAUCAUUUCUUCAGGCCUGUAUUCCGUGGUAUCAGAAGGAGGGAAAUGUCUGUAGCCUCUCUUCACAAAGCCUGACGACACGAAGCCAUGGAGCAAGAGAGCAGCCAAGGCUGUCUCUACACUAUCCACAGGGCCCCGCUUCUCCUUCAGGACCUGCAGUCAUGUAGACUGACCUCCGGAGCUAUUCUCAUCAGUGAGCAAACACUCUCGACUGAUAGGAUGUCAACCCAAAUUUAGACUAGGACUCUCAACUAAGGAAGAAUAGACCUUGAAACGCGAAAAGGAAACUAUCAUUAUCCGUAAACUGUGCCCGACUCCAGGCUGCUGAAGUGGAAGGCACUGGGGUGGAGAAUCAGCUCAGCAGUUAAGAGAGCGAUCUGCUCUCUCAGAGGACAUGGGUUUGGUUCCCAGCACCCACGUCAGGUGGCUCACAACCUUCCAUAACUCCAGCUCCAGGGAAUCCCUCUUCUGGACACUUGUGGGACCCCGUAUACAUGUGGCAUACACUCACAUGGAUGCAAACAUACAGAAAUGACAGCGAGGGGAGUCUUCAAGAGAAAGCCUAGGCUAACAAAGACCCCCCCCUCUUUAGCGGGUACAGUACCGUUAUAAAAUGAACUCAUAGGCCUUCCUCCGAGCGGGCACUCUACUGUUGAGUGUGCUCUUGGGACUUUUUCCUAUAAUGUAUAUCAAAAUAUCAGACCAAAAAGUAAUAAAGGCGUCGCUGAUGUGGGUAACCACAGUCAUGCA
This is a long non-coding RNA of Meriones unguiculatus (Mongolian gerbil), 1261 nucleotides long. RefSeq lists it as uncharacterized. The record is from RefSeq and is a predicted model, not a curated record. The transcript has 2 exons. NCBI's taxonomy places the organism in Eukaryota, Metazoa, Chordata, Mammalia, Rodentia, Muridae.